GACGAACGCUGGCGGCGUGCUUAACACAUGCAAGUCGAACGGAAAGGCCCUGCUUUUGUGGGGUGCUCGAGUUGCGAACUGGUGAGUAACACGUGAGUAACCUACACUUGACCUUGGGAUAACUUCAGGAAACUGGAGCUAAUACCGGCUAGGAGUUCCUGCUUCAUGGUGGGGGUUGGAAAGUUUCGGCGGUUGGGGAUUGACUCGCGGCUUAUCAGCUUGUUGGUGGGGUAGUGGCUUACCAUGGCUUUGACGGGUAGCAGGGCUGGGAGGGUGAACGGCCACGUUGGGCCUGAGAUGAGGCACAGACUCGUACGGGAGGGAGCAGAGGAGUAGAUUGUACAAGGGAAGGGAGCCAAGUGCAGUAACGCCGUGUGGGGGAAGACGUGCAGCGGUUAGGAUUCCACAUUCGUCUUUCACGAAGCGAUAAUGACAGUAAUGGGUAAAUAAGCACCGGCUAACUACGUG
Molecule: ribosomal RNA, 468 nt
Filed under: uncultured bacterium
Lineage: Bacteria
Description: partial 16S ribosomal RNA
Rfam family: Bacterial small subunit ribosomal RNA
Source: RNAcentral